Molecule: ribosomal RNA, 392 nt
Filed under: uncultured bacterium
Lineage: Bacteria
Description: partial 16S ribosomal RNA
Rfam family: Bacterial small subunit ribosomal RNA
Source: RNAcentral
AUACGGAGGAUCCGAGCGUUAUCCGGAUUUAUUGGGUUUAAAGGGUGCGCAGGCGGCCAUUUAAGUCAGCGGUUAAAUCGUGGGGCUCAACCCCAUUCUGCCGUUGAUACUGGGUGGCUUGAUUGCGGUCGAGGUUGGCGGAAUUCGUUGUGUAGCGGUGAAAUGCAUAGAUAUGACGAAGAACACUGAUUGCGUAGGCAGCUGACCAGACCGCAAAUGACGCUCAUGCACGAAAGUGCGGGGAUCGAACAGGAUUAGAUACCCUGGUAGUCCGCACAGUAAACGAUGAAUACUUGUUUUCGGCGAUAUAAUGUCGGAGGCAAAGCGAAAGCGAUAAGUAUUCCACCUGGGGAGUACGCCGGCAACGGUGAAACUCAAAUGAAUUGACGGGG